CUUGCUUAUGAAUGAAGAUACACACACUUUCACCUUGAAAUCACAUCAGCCUAUUUUCUGCAUUUAGUCCUGGAAGCACAUGAAUUAGCUGUGCCAAACUGGAUACAUCCCAUCAGAAGAAAAGAGGUUUGGUCCUGAGAGCCUCCCUUUAGGCAGCUGAGGAGAACAAACAGCUCUUCCUGCAUCCAGAAGCAUCAGCAUUUAUUGGUCCAGAUAAAGCGCAGAGAAGAAAAAUUGUUCAGGGUGGGCUAUAAGUCAUCACCAUGUCUCUUCAGCUGCUGCCAUGAUCCAGCACAGAUGAUGGCAUAGAUGAUUACAGGAAACUGCCUGCUCUGGUUUGCUCAACUGAUACCUCCAUCUUUCAAAAGGCAUCAUGGAAAAACUGACCCACAGCUCAGAACCAGAGGGUGAGUGAAAUGCUUGGAAUGCAACCACCCAUCAUUAUUAUUAUUGUGCUUUGUCUGCUAGUUAAGGUAAGUAAGAAAUUGUCCUUGUCAAAUUUUCUUCAAAACUGACCCUUGCUUCAGGCCUUAAGUAAACAGCCUUCUCUGGGAAAGCUGCACGUGGUACUGUCCU
Molecule: long non-coding RNA, 576 nt
Organism: Cyanistes caeruleus (blue tit)
Lineage: Eukaryota; Metazoa; Chordata; Aves; Passeriformes; Paridae
Source: RefSeq, a predicted model, not a curated record